UGAAUACGAGACGCUAAGGCGUCGAAGUAGUGUAUAUCAGACUUCCAAGAAAAGCUUGCACUGUCAUAGAUAAAAAACGCCUGUACCAUAACCGACACAGGUGGGUAGGUAGAGUAUACUAAGGGGCGCGAGAUAACUCUCUCUAAGGAACUCGGCAAAAUGACUCCGUAACUUCGGGAGAAGGAGUGCCUUAUUCGUAAGGCUGCAAUAACAAGAUCCAAGCAACUGUUUAUCAAAACACAGGUCUCCGCUAAGUCGUAAGACGAUGUAUGGGGGCUGACGCCUGCCCAGUGCCAGAAGGUUAAAGAAGUCGGUUAGCAUUAGCGAAGCUGGUAACUGAAGCCCUGGUGAACGGCGGCCGUAACGAUAACGGUCCUAAGGUAGCGAAAUUCCUUGUCAGGUAAGUUCCGGCCCGCACGAAAGGCGUAAUGAUUUGGAUACUGUCUCGGAGAGGGGCUCGGUGAAAUAGACUUGUCUGUGAAGAUGCGGACUACCUGCACCAGGACAGAAAGAUCCUAUGAAGCUUUACUGUAACUUGAAAUUGAAAUUGGACUUUAUUCGCGCAGUAUAGGUGGGAGGUGUUGAUUAUAAUCUUGCGGGAUUAUUGGAGCCAUCAGUGAGAUACCACUCUUGUAAUGUUAGAUUUCUAACUUUGAAUCAUUAUCUGGUCAAAGAACAGUUUCAGGCGGGCAGUUUGACUGGGGCGGUCGCCUCCUAAAUGGUAACGGAGGCGUACAAAGGUUUCCUCUGAACGGGUAGAAAUCGUAUCUAGAGUGUAAAGGCAUAAGGAAGCUUGACUGUGAGACCUACAAGUCGAGCAGGGACGAAAGUCGGUCUUAGUGAUCUGACGGUACUGAGUGGAAAGGCCGUCACUCAACGGAUAAAAGUUACUCUAAGGAUAACAGGCUGAUCUCCCCCAAGAGUUCACAUCGACGGGGAGGUUUGGCACCUCGAUGUCGGCUCAUCGCAUCCUGGGGCGGUAGUACGUCCCAAGGGUUGGGCUGUUCGACCAUGAAAGCGGUACGCGAGCUGGGUUCAGAACGUCGUGAGACAGUUCGGUCCAUAUCCGGUGUAGGCGUUAGAAUAUUGAGAGGAGCCUUCUUUAGUACGAGAGGACCGAGAAGGACAUACCUCUGGUGUACCAGUUAUCGUGCCAACGGUAAACGCUGGGUAGCUAUGUAUGGAGUGGAUAACCGCUGAAAGCAUCUAAGUGGGAAGCCCACCUCAAGAUAAGUAUUCUC
RNAcentral lists this ribosomal RNA (1241 nucleotides) under metagenome. Its description in RNAcentral is "bacterial LSU rRNA". It matches the Rfam family "Bacterial large subunit ribosomal RNA", at positions 1564 to 2815 of the family's 2925-position model. The record is from RNAcentral.